This 344-nucleotide long non-coding RNA is filed under the name Setaria viridis. RNAcentral's name for it is "long non-coding RNA (SVIR_LNC008274)". Lineage: Eukaryota; Viridiplantae; Streptophyta; Magnoliopsida; Poales; Poaceae. The record is from RNAcentral.
UGGAUAAGGAGGCGUGCGGAGGUGGGUGGGACUGAGGGUUAGUACCAGGUGGAGCCUUCAUCCGGUACUAAAGGCCCUCAGGCACAUUAGUACCGGGUUGAGACUCCACCCGGUACUAAUGGGUGACCUUUAGUACCCGUUGGAGUCCCCAACCGGUACUAAAGGAGGUCACGGGGGGCUUCUGGGGAACUAGCCAUUAGACCCGGUACUAAUGCUCACAUUAGUAUCGGGUCAAAAACCAACCAGUACUAAGGGUCAAGACUAAUGCUCAGUUUUCCAUUAGUGUAAGCUGGUGUUAGGUCAUGUAGUUGAUGAACGAAUGAAGUCUGUACUCUUAUACUCCC